CACAAAGAAAAAGUCAGAGAGCGUUUUAUGGACUCUGAGAUUCGAGUCGACUCCCGCAGUACGCGAGUCGACUCCGAGACUGUGCGACCAUCGACAGACAGAAGACCAUGUUACUGCCUCUGAGAUUCGAGUCGACUCCCAGAUAGCUCGAGUCGACUCCAAGACAAGCUUCACGUCAAAAGGCAGAAGACCAACUUUCGGAAACUGAGAGCCGAGUCGACUCCAAGGAAGUUCGAGUCGACUCCAAGACUGGAUUAGACAGAGAAUCGGGAGUUCGGGCUCUGAGAUUCGAGUCGACUCCCAGGACAGUCGAGUCGACUCGAGUGGACAAAAUUCAAAUUUGGAUCCACGGACUACAGAGGAUGAG
This 367-nucleotide long non-coding RNA is filed under the name Phoenix dactylifera (date palm). RNAcentral describes it as "long non-coding RNA (PDAC_LNC011324)". The record is from RNAcentral. Lineage: Eukaryota; Viridiplantae; Streptophyta; Magnoliopsida; Arecales; Arecaceae.